Ictalurus punctatus (channel catfish) is the source of this 703-nucleotide long non-coding RNA. NCBI's taxonomy places the organism in Eukaryota, Metazoa, Chordata, Actinopteri, Siluriformes, Ictaluridae. The record is from Ensembl.
CCUGACUGCAGGAGCAAGUACACGAUCUGACCAAAAGGAUGCGUGUGUCAGACUCAGUGAAAGAGGCGUGGCCUCUGUGUGUGUUGUCUUAGUGAAGGAGGUGUGUCCUCUGUGUGUCAGACUCAGUGAAGGAGGUGUGGCCUCUGUGUGUGUUGUCUUAGUGAAGGAGGUGUGUCCUCUGUGUGUCAGACUCAGUGACAGAGGCGUGGCCUCUGUGUGUCAGACUCAGUGAAGGAGGUGUGGCCUCUGUGUGUCAGUCUUAGUGACGUAGGUGUGUCCUGUGUGUGUGAGUCUCAGUAAAGGAGGCCUGGCCUCUGUGUGUGUGUGUGUCAGUCUCAGUGAAGGAGGUGUGUCCUGUGUGUGUGUCAGUCUUAGUGAAGUAGGCGUGUCCUGUGUGUGUCAAUCUCAGUAAAGGAGGUGUGGCCUCUGUGUGUGUGUCAGUCUUAGUGACGUAGGCGUGUCCUGUGUGUGUCAAUCUCAGUAAAGGAGGCGUGGCCUCUGUGUGUCAGACUCAGUAAAGGAGGCGUGGCCUCUGUGUGUGUGUCAGUCUCAGUGAAGGAGGUGUGUCCUGUGUGUGUGUCAGUCUCAGUGAAGGAGGCGUGUCCUGUGUGUGUCAAUCUCAGUAAAGGAGGCGUGGCCUCUGUGUGUGUGUCAGUCUCAGUGAAGGAGGUGUGUCCUGUGUGUGUCAGUCUCAGUGAAGGAG